RNAcentral lists this ribosomal RNA (467 nucleotides) under uncultured bacterium. RNAcentral describes it as "partial 16S ribosomal RNA". It matches the Rfam family "Bacterial small subunit ribosomal RNA", at positions 28 to 506 of the family's 1533-position model. The record is from RNAcentral.
GACGAACGCUGGCGGCGUGCUUAACACAUGCAAGUCGAACGGAAAGGCCCUGCUUUUGUGGGGUGCUCGAGUGGCGAACGGGUGAGUAACACGUGAGUAACCUGCCCUUGACUUUGGGAUAACUUCAGGAAACUGGGGCUAAUACCGGAUAGGAGCUCCUGCUGCAUGGUGGGGGUUGGAAAGUUUCGGCGGUUGGGGAUGGACUCGCGGCUUAUCAGCUUGUUGGUGGGGUAGUGGCUUACCAAGGCUUUGACGGGUAGCCGGCCUGAGAGGGUGACCGGCCACAUGGGGACUGGGAUACGGCCCAGACUCCUACGGGAGGCAGCGGUGGGGAAUAUUGCACAAUGGGCGGAGGCCUGAUGCAGCAACGCCGCGUGCGGGAUGACGGCCUUCGGGUUGUAAACCGCUUUCGCCUGUGACGAAGCGUGGGUGACGGUAAUGGGUAAAGAAGCACCGGCUAACUACGU